This 496-nucleotide ribosomal RNA is filed under the name uncultured bacterium. RNAcentral's name for it is "partial 16S ribosomal RNA". It matches the Rfam family "Bacterial small subunit ribosomal RNA", at positions 29 to 507 of the family's 1533-position model. The record is from RNAcentral.
AUGCACGCUGGCGGCGUGCCUAAUACAUGCAAGUCGAGCGAACAGACGAGGAGCUUGCUCCUCUGACGUUAGCGGCGGACGGGUGAGUAACACGUGGAUAACCUACCUAUAAGACUGGGAUAACUUCGGGAAACCGGAGCUAAUACCGGAUAAUAUAUUGAACCGCAUGGUUCAAUAGUGAAAGACGGUUUUGCUGUCACUUAUAGAUGGAUCCGCGCCGCAUUAGCUAGUUGGUAAGGUAACGGCUUACCAAGGCAACGAUGCGUAGCCGACCUGAGAGGGUGAUCGGCCACACUGGAACUGAGACACGGUCCAGACUCCUACGGGAGGCAGCAGUAGGGAAUCUUCCGCAAUGGGCGAAAGCCUGACAGAGCAACGCCGCGUGAGUGAUGAAGGUCUUCGGAUCGUAAAACUCUGUUAUUAGGGAAGAACAAAUGUGUAAGUAACUAUGCACGUCUUGACGGUACCUAAUCAGAAAGCCACGGCUAACUACGUG